Molecule: ribosomal RNA, 301 nt
Filed under: uncultured bacterium
Lineage: Bacteria
Description: partial 16S ribosomal RNA
Rfam family: Bacterial small subunit ribosomal RNA
Source: RNAcentral
CAGCAGCCGCGGUAAUACGGAGGAUCCAAGCGUUAUCCGGAAUUAUUGGGUUUAAAGGGUCCGUAGGCGGUCUUGUAAGUCAGUGGUGAAAGCCCAUCGCUCAACGGUGGAACGGCCAUUGAUACUGCAGGACUUGAAUUAUUGGGAAGUAACUAGAAUAUGUAGUGUAGCGGUGAAAUGCUUAGAGAUUACAUGGAAUACCAAUUGCGAAGGCAGGUUACUACCAAUUGAUUGACGCUGAUGGACGAAAGCGUGGGUAGCGAACAGGAUUAGAUACCCCCGUAGUCCCUGUCUCUUAUAC